This 277-nucleotide ribosomal RNA is filed under the name uncultured bacterium. Its description in RNAcentral is "partial 16S ribosomal RNA". It matches the Rfam family "Bacterial small subunit ribosomal RNA", at positions 28 to 316 of the family's 1533-position model. The record is from RNAcentral.
GACGAACGCUGGCGGCGCACCUAAGACAUGCAAGUCGGACGCUCCCUUUGGGGAGAGUGGCGGACGGGUGAGUAACACGUAGGAGACCUACCCCGGGGUGGGGGAUACCACCGGGAAACCGGUGCUAAGACCGCAUACGGCGGGCACCAUAGGGGGUGCUCGGGAAAUGCUUCGGCAGCCCUGGGCGGGUCCUGCGGCGGAUUAGGUGGUUGGGGGGGUAGUGGCCCACCAAGCCGACGAUCCGUAGCUGGUCUGAGAGGACGACCAGCCACACCGG